This 1420-nucleotide ribosomal RNA is filed under the name uncultured bacterium. RNAcentral's name for it is "bacterial SSU rRNA". It matches the Rfam family "Bacterial small subunit ribosomal RNA". The record is from RNAcentral.
AGAGUUUGAUCCUGGCUCAGAUUGAACGCUGGCGGCAGGCCUAACACAUGCAAGUCGAGCGGUAGCACAGAGAGCUUGCUCUCGGGUGACGAGCGGCGGACGGGUGAGUAAUGUCUGGGAAACUGCCUGAUGGAGGGGGAUAACUACUGGAAACGGUAGCUAAUACCGCAUAAUGUCGCAAGACCAAAGUGGGGGACCUUCGGGCCUCAUGCCAUCAGAUGUGCCCAGAUGGGAUUAGCUAGUAGGUGGGGUAACGGCUCACCUAGGCGACGAUCCCUAGCUGGUCUGAGAGGAUGACCAGCCACACUGGAACUGAGACACGGUCCAGACUCCUACGGGAGGCAGCAGUGGGGAAUAUUGCACAAUGGGCGCAAGCCUGAUGCAGCCAUGCCGUGUGUGUGAAGAAGGCCUUCGGGUUGUAAAGCACUUUCAGCGGGGAGGAAGGCGUUAAGGUUAAUAACCUUGGCGAUUGACGUUACCCGCAGAAGAAGCACCGGCUAACUCCGUGCCAGCAGCCGCGGUAAUACGGAGGGUGCAAGCGUUAAUCGGAAUUACUGGGCGUAAAGCGCACGCAGGCGGUCUGUCAAGUCGGAUGUGAAAUCCCCGGGCUCAACCUGGGAACUGCAUUCGAAACUGGCAGGCUAGAGUCUUGUAGAGGGGGGUAGAAUUCCAGGUGUAGCGGUGAAAUGCGUAGAGAUCUGGAGGAAUACCGGUGGCGAAGGCGGCCCCCUGGACAAAGACUGACGCUCAGGUGCGAAAGCGUGGGGAGCAAACAGGAUUAGAUACCCUGGUAGUCCACGCCGUAAACGAUGUCGAUUUGGAGGUUGUGCCCUUGAGGCGUGGCUUCCGGAGCUAACGCGUUAAAUCGACCGCCUGGGGAGUACGGCCGCAAGGUUAAAACUCAAAUGAAUUGACGGGGGCCCGCACAAGCGGUGGAGCAUGUGGUUUAAUUCGAUGCAACGCGAAGAACCUUACCUGGUCUUGACAUCCACAGAACUUUCCAGAGAUGGAUUGGUGCCUUCGGGAACUGUGAGACAGGUGCUGCAUGGCUGUCGUCAGCUCGUGUUGUGAAAUGUUGGGUUAAGUCCCGCAACGAGCGCAACCCUUAUCCUUUGUUGCCAGCGGUUCGGCCGGGAACUCAAAGGAGACUGCCAGUGAUAAACUGGAGGAAGGUGGGGAUGACGUCAAGUCAUCAUGGCCCUUACGACCAGGGCUACACACGUGCUACAAUGGCAUAUACAAAGAGAAGCGACCUCGCGAGAGCAAGCGGACCUCAUAAAGUAUGUCGUAGUCCGGAUUGGAGUCUGCAACUCGACUCCAUGAAGUCGGAAUCGCUAGUAAUCGUAGAUCAGAAUGCUACGGUGAAUACGUUCCCGGGCCUUGUACACACCGCCCGUCACACCAUGGGAGUGGGUUGCAA